Molecule: transfer RNA, 76 nt
Filed under: Leptospiraceae bacterium
Lineage: Bacteria; Pseudomonadati; Spirochaetota; Leptospiria; Leptospirales; Leptospiraceae
Also listed under: 1 other name
Description: tRNA-Asn
Rfam family: tRNA
About the family: Transfer RNA (tRNA) molecules are approximately 80 nucleotides in length. Their secondary structure includes four short double-helical elements and three loops (D, anti-codon, and T loops). Further hydrogen bonds mediate the characteristic L-shaped molecular structure. tRNAs have two regions of fundamental functional importance: the anti-codon, which is responsible for specific mRNA codon recognition, and the 3' end, to which the tRNAs corresponding amino acid is attached (by aminoacyl-tRNA synthetases). tRNAs cope with the degeneracy of the genetic code in two manners: having more than one tRNA (with a specific anti-codon) for a particular amino acid; and 'wobble' base-pairing, i.e. permitting non-standard base-pairing at the 3rd anti-codon position.
Source: RNAcentral
UCCCCAGUAGCUCAGUCGGUAGAGCGAGUGGCUGUUAACCACCAGGUCGCAGGUUCGAGUCCUGCCUGGGGAGCCA